GGGGAGACUGGCAGGCUGGAAAGCCGGCGCAGGGAGGUCACCUUUGAUGUAGACAUCGUCGUCGGCGCGCAUGAACCACUCAUACUUGUCCAGGUUGAAGAAGAAAUAAAGAAGCACGGAAGUAAUAACAUGGGAUUAUCAGAAAACCUGACUGAUUGUGCUGCUGCUGGCAAUGGUGAUGAUGGACUAAUUCCACAAAGAGCAGAAAACCUGAAAAUCAGCAAUUUCCUAGGACGGAGAAUGAAGAGUAUCAUAGGGUUGAAGAUGGCAUGGCCUGUAUGCUGCAGGUUUUUCUGAGGAAAAACAUUCAUUUCCAUGUCUUCCUGUGAUCUUAUGCAUGCAUUGGAUUACACGGGACUGCAUUCCUUUGCCACAGUAAUAAAUUAACUCUUCAUAUUCUUGGUCAGUUGACUGAAGACUGAAAGCUUGUAUGGGAGCAUCUGAAAGGACACUUGACCCUUGAACAACAUGGGUUUGAACUGUGUAGGUCCACUUACAGGCAAUUUUUUAAAAACUAAACAAGGAUCAAAAUUGCAGUGUUUGCAGGUUGCUAAAUUUGCAUAUAUAGAGGACAAACUUCUCAAAUAAGUGAGUUCCACAAGACCAACUGCUGGACUUGGAUAUGCAUGGAUUUGGGGAUAUGCAGAGGUCCAGGAACCAAUCCCCUGGCAAAUACCGAGGGACAACUGCAUAUCUAUACAUUUAAAAAUGGUGACAUCAAAAAUCAAUUACUUGAAAAUUACUAGGAGAGUAGAUUUUAAGUUCUCAACACAACUGCUAAAUAUGUGAGGUAAUGCUUAUGUUAAUUUGCUCAAUUUUGCCAUUCCACAAUGUAUACACAUUUCAAAACAUUUGUAUGGAGUAAAUUUUGGUCAAUUAAAAAAUUAGAAAUCAAUUGGUAUUGAUAUUGUUCUGUUUCUUGGGCUGGGUGAUGGAUACAUUGCUAUAUUUAAUUUUGUUAAUUCAGUGAGCUGUGUAAUUACAAUUUGAUCACUUGUGUUUACUUGAAUAACUUUUUAAAUCAACUACUGUCAUGUCCAAUGUAAAUUGUUUCUUCUAAGCUUUCCUUUACCAAUCAAAUUCCACUGCCAACUAAACUUUACUGAAGUGCGUACAGACUCCAGGAAUAUAAUGAAAAUGAAGUGAGCUGGGUGUACCAUAUACUAGGGUGUUGCGGCCUCUGAUGAACUGAGAAAGAUGGGUCUAAUUUAAAGGGUACAGAUCCUACACAGCUCCUAGGAAUGGUUGCCAUAUGGGCUGUGGGUUGAGUGUUACCAGGUCUGCAAAUCUUACUUUUAUGUCAAAUUUACACUUUUUUAAUGUUGGCAACUAAUUGAAUUUUUUAAACACUGAAGGCCAAACUAAAUAUGUCUUUAACUAAAGAGCCCUCCCUCCAUAAAGAUCACCUCCCUAGUAGGGCCUCACUAAAUCUGAGUCCAAUUAAAAUACUUUCAUUUGUACUGCUGAUACUGCCAGCAAUUAGGGAAGCCUGCAUUCAAAAUUAAGUCUGAUUCCCCAACCUGUGCCAUUUCUUUUUUUUCUUUUUUUCUUUUUUUUUUUUUGAGAUAGAGACUCACUCUGUCACCAGGCUGGAGUGCAGUGGCGUAAUCUCAGCUCACUGCAACCUCUACCUCCUGGGUUCAAGCGAUUCUCCUGCCUCAGCUUCCCCAGUAGCUGGGACUACAGGCGCGUACCACCAUGCCUAACUAAUUUCUGUAUUUUUAGUAGAGACGGGGUUUCAUGUUGGCCAGGAUGGUCUCGAUCUCUUGAUCUCGUGAUCCGCCCACCUCGGCCUCCCAAAGUGCUGAGAUUACAGGCAUGAGCCACCGUGCCAGGUCUCCAUUUCUACUUUAAUAAACUUCCUAAAAAUAUGAUCACAGCUUUAUGUAAUUUGAAUCCUAAACUAAUCCCAUAACAAAGGUAUUAUCCCGAUUCACUGACGAGGAAUCUAGGCCAGAAGAUAACAGAUAACUUAAUGGAACAGUUUGACCUGAGUUGAAUGGCUUGAGUUCAAACCCCUCGCUCCAACAAUUGCCAUUUUAAUAAUUUCAGGAGGGUAAAUUCUCUAUAUUUCUGUAUUUUUCCAAUAAAAUGGGUACACUAAUAACACAUCACAAAAUUGUUGUGAGUACUUACAAAGCACUUAAAAACGUGUCUGGCAAACAUUAAUAGUAAGUACUAUGUAAGUGUUGCUAUUACUAAUUAUUCCUAUUAUUAAUUUCAGUGAAAUGAAAAUUAGAACAAUAACUACCUCUUUGGGUUUUGUAUUAAAUGAACUAAUCUAUUGAAAAUGUUUAUAACUGUUCCUGAGACAUAGUUAAUAUUCAAUAUGUGUUAAUUAUAUGUCUAAUUUCAUUGUCUUUCAAAUACAUUAUAUCUAAACCAUGCGGGUUAAUUCCUUCACUUAUGCCUGGUAAUAACAAAUACAGGUACUACCAUAGGCUGGAAUUACUUUCAUUUGUACUAAGCGUUUGAAAAGUUUAUAGCUUUGUAGUCUCAAGAUUAUGGAAAUAUUUGUAUCAUUUACAAAUCUGUAGUGAAAUCAAUCAUGCACUAUGUAAUGACUGUCUUGAUAGGGAUUUUAAUAAUGUAAUAAGAUUUUAUUCAAAGAAGCAGGAAUAGUUGCAACACUCAAAAGACAUUCUUUAAAUGUAGUCAGUCUUCACCCCUUCUUGUCUCCCUAGUUUUUCAAAAACUUGAAGCCCAAAUUAAAAAUCAGAAGAUAUCCAGGUAAUUCAGUAACUCGAAUUACAAAGUUAUAUGCUAACAUAUUUAACAUAGCCAUGAUUUUUACUUACUUGUGACCCAUUUCAUGAGCAAUUGUAAAAGCAAGAUUCAAGCCAUUGUCUUCAGCAAUAAUACAUUUUCUCUUUUCACUACACAUUCCACUCAAGUAAGCUAUACCUAAAAAAUACAAACAUUAAUUAUUAUAUGUCUGAAUGAAUAUGCAAAUAUUUAUACUAGUUAUUAGCAGCAGGAAUGAAAAUGGCAGUUGUCACGACUAAAAUGUCAGUAUUAAUCUGUGAAAUCUAGCCCUAAUAAAUGAAAUUUUAGGGGCAAGUGUAUAUGUAUAGGCCAGGCAAAAAAAUGUUCAUAUCAUUUUCAUUUUCAUAUUUUAGAUAAAAUUAUUUUACCAAUUAUCAAGUUCCCAAAAGGAAUAAUAUAAGAAUAUAGGUUAUAAAUACCAAUUUCAUCAUCAUGUAAGACAAAUGAAUAGUUAUAACUUGGAAAAUAUAAUCAAACAGCAAUGAUUAUUUUAAAUAUACUCAAUUAUUGUGAAGAACACAGUUUCAAAAAAAUUAAUGCAAAAUAAACUACAUAUAAAGCAGUCUUGAACUUACAUUUAUAUUUUGAAUUAAUACAAUUGUGAAAUUCUAUUUAUGAAAUACUAUGUUAACUAAUAUGGCAUAGAGCUAUCUAUCAUAUUUAAAAUACUAGAAAGAUUUUAUUUGAAAAUUUCUUGGCUAAAUGGUGUGUUGCAUAGUAUAUGAUACUGAAAUAUUAAGAUAAAAUUUUAGCAAGAUAUUUGAUCUUUUGGUAUAAAUUAUCAGUAAAAAUGGCAAUAUUUAAACUCCUUGAUAUUCUUU
Long non-coding RNA from Homo sapiens (human), 3587 nucleotides. NCBI's taxonomy places the organism in Eukaryota, Metazoa, Chordata, Mammalia, Primates, Hominidae. The record is from Ensembl.